This 388-nucleotide ribosomal RNA is filed under the name uncultured bacterium. RNAcentral's name for it is "bacterial SSU rRNA". It matches the Rfam family "Bacterial small subunit ribosomal RNA", at positions 28 to 417 of the family's 1533-position model. The record is from RNAcentral.
GACGAACGCUGGCGGCGUGCUUAACACAUGCAAGUCGAGCGGUAAGGCCCUUUCGGGGGUACACGAGCGGCGAACGGGUGAGUAACACGUGGGUGACCUGCCCUCAGCUCUGGGAUAAGCCUGGGAAACCGGGUCUAAUACCGGAUAUGACUCCAUGACGCAUGUUGUGGGGUGGAAAGCCUUGUGCGGCUGAGGAUGGGCCCGCGGCCUAUCAGCUUGUUGGUGGGGUGAUGGCCUACCAAGGCGACGACGGGUAGCCGGCCUGAGAGGGCGACCGGCCACACCGGGACUGAGACACGGCCCAGACUCCUACGGGAGGCAGCAGUGGGGAAUCUUGCGCAAUGGGCGAAAGCCUGACGCAGCGACGCCGCGUGAGGGAUGACGGCCU